This 253-nucleotide ribosomal RNA is filed under the name uncultured bacterium. RNAcentral's name for it is "partial 16S ribosomal RNA". It matches the Rfam family "Bacterial small subunit ribosomal RNA", at positions 524 to 776 of the family's 1533-position model. The record is from RNAcentral.
UACGAAGGGGGCUAGCGUUGCUCGGAAUCACUGGGCGUAAAGGGUGCGUAGGCGGGUCUUUAAGUCAGGGGUAAAAUCCUGGAGCUCAACUCCAGAACUGCCUUUGAUACUGAAGAUCUUGAGUUCGGGAGAGGUGAGUGGAACUGCGAGUGUAGAGGUGAAAUUCGUAGAUAUUCGCAAGAACACCAGUGGCGAAGGCGGCUCACUGGCCCGAUACUGACGCUGAUGCACGAAAGCGUGGGGAGCAAACAGG